This 31-nucleotide non-coding RNA is filed under the name Homo sapiens (human). The record is from RNAcentral. Lineage: Eukaryota; Metazoa; Chordata; Mammalia; Primates; Hominidae.
UCAAGGCUAAAUCUGCUCAUGUCGCCACUGC